GGAGAAUUGGGUGUGCUGAGCCAUGGGCAAAACCAGGCUGUCACAAGCAAGACCUGCAAAAGGCCAUGAAUUUCACGACCUCUACUGCUGCCAGGUUAUAGAGCCAGGGAUUGCCUGCAGAAGAUCUCAUGAAGAUCCAUCCAGAUGCCAUGUGUAUACAAACCUACCUGAAGACCUACUGCUGGUGGAUCCAAUGCCCCUGUGCUAAAGAUGGAAGCCUAGCUUGGAGGCAAAGUGCAUGGGGUGGUGGCCAGACAUCCACAAGGAUACGUCACAAAGGAAAGCUGGGACUGUGAUUUGGGAGCUUGAAGUCAAUACUUGAAUCAUCAGCGUGGACCAAGUUGAAGCUUGUUCGUGAGAAAAUCUGAUUAAACAUAGAGGGAGAAGAGAAGGG
RNAcentral lists this long non-coding RNA (394 nucleotides) under Gallus gallus (chicken). Its description in RNAcentral is "long non-coding RNA NONGGAT008652". Lineage: Eukaryota; Metazoa; Chordata; Aves; Galliformes; Phasianidae. The record is from RNAcentral.